CAAACCAUGAAAUCAAGGCAGCUAGGAGAGUUCCAGCAGAAGCAGUGGCUAUGGCAGUGGCAGGAGGUUUUAAUUACUGUCAGGAAACAAAGCUUAGCAGGAGAGGAGAGCCUGAGAAGUGACAGGAAGCUACAGGUUACAACAAAUUUGUGAACUCAGCCAAGCACACUGGUCGCAGGGCCUAGCUGCUACAAAGACAUGUUUUAGACAAUACUCAUGUGUAUGGGCAAAAAACUCUAGGACUGUAUUUUUGACUAGUUAUAUAACAGGUUAUUUUAGUUUCUGUUCUGUGGAAAGUGUAAAGCAUUCCAACAAAGGGUUUUAAUGUGCAUUUUUUUUUUUUUUUGCAUCCAUGCUGUUGAUUGCUAAAUGUAAUAGUCUGAUCAUGAUGCUAAAUAAAUG
Molecule: long non-coding RNA, 402 nt
Filed under: Lynx pardinus (Iberian lynx)
Lineage: Eukaryota; Metazoa; Chordata; Mammalia; Carnivora; Felidae
Source: RNAcentral